Long non-coding RNA from Zingiber officinale, 2423 nucleotides. RefSeq lists it as uncharacterized. NCBI's taxonomy places the organism in Eukaryota, Viridiplantae, Streptophyta, Magnoliopsida, Zingiberales, Zingiberaceae. The record is from RefSeq and is a predicted model, not a curated record. The transcript is spliced from 4 exons.
ACAAUCAAAGUCGUGUUUUUUGUUUUUGUUUUUGUACCCAUCCUAUGAUGCCGAGCACUGUCCCUGUUGGUGUCUACUCUUCUUCAUCCCUUGUACAACCCAAAUAGCCUCUUCAGCAUUGGCAAGAUCAUGGUCUCUGUGUGCCCAUAACACAGCUACCAUGUUCUACAACGUGCUGCCUCUUCCCAAUCAGCUUCUAUCCACCUUACCCCUUCCAUUAGCAAUUUUCUAGAGGAUGUUUCUGGUGUGAGAUUUUCCACUAUGGUGCUGUGUUCAGUCUAUGUUCUGCAUUGAACCAUUUUACUACUGGUUACUGGUUACUAAUCAGUUCCAAGAGACUAAUGCUCAGUUUGAUAAUAGAGGGAUGAACCACACCUAGAUAAAGAUCUGUUGUGAAAGAAAAAGGGAAAAAUGAAAGAAUUGAUAUUAUCCAUCCUUAGUUUGCUGUCAAGGACCGAAAGAAAAGGUGCAACUUAUGGGAUAGACUCACAACCAAUGUUUGGUUGCAGCUGGCAAGCUCACAGUUAGCGACAAGCUCCGGGCCAAGUGGUGGCAGGCUUACAAGCAGACCUCAAGGUCGCAACUUGUGGUUGGGCUCACAGGCAGUGGGUGAGGAUGAUGCUCAAGAGGAGGGUGUGGGCAAUGAAGAAAGAGGUUGAGAUUUUAGGAGUUGGGAAAGAAGGAAAGAAUCAAUUUUGGACAGAUCAAAAUUUGGCCAAAAAUCAAUUCAAUCCAUUCUUUGGGUAAUUAUGCUUCUAAUAAAUGAUGCACACUGUUAGACCUUCAUGCAAUAUGCCCUUUGAAUGAUCCAUCUUACAGAGUGAUCCGGUCCGAGAUUAACUCCUGAACAUAUCAGCAGCCAACCUCUCGGUAGGUCGGAUGUACAUUAGGUCAGUUUUCGUUGAGCUGGCUUCCAUCGGAUUGGCUCCUGCCAGGUUGGCUGUUACUGUGCUUAGUAAUCGUGAGGAUUUGGGCGAUGAUCUCCGGUGCCGGCCAUUGAAAGGAUGAGAAAGAGGUUAGAAGGGGGUCAAGGCAUACUUUAGCGUGGUCCCUCCAACGCUCAAGUCAAACUCGGUAAGAGAGAGUUGGAGAGGAAAGACAACAGCAAAGUGAAAAGUAGUAAAAUCUGAUAUCUCCCUUCUGUUGCAGUCACCAUUACAUUAUAUAAGGGUGAAGAGGUGACCUCGAUCCUUAGAGGAUGAACAUCUUUCUUCUCCCCCAUAAGGCGCGAUCUUCUGCAACCAACAAUUGCUAUAAUUGCCGCAUCCUUUGGGGAUGCGAGCAAUCUGCUAUGACUGUUGUGUCCCUGGGGCUACUAGCGGCUUGCAUAACGACCACGUCCCUUGGGGCUGCUAGCAGCUUGCAUAAUUGUUGCAUCCCUUGGAGCUGCGGGCUGUCUGCAUAACGGUCGGAUCCCUUGGGGCUACUGGUGGCUUGUUGUAACUGUCACGUCCCUUGGGGCUACUGCUUGCUGUAACUGCCGCGUCCCUUUGAGCUUCUGGCGACCUUGCUGCUCCCGGACUCUAGCAAGUAGAGCCUAACUCGAGUUGAAUCAGACGGAUUGAGGAUUGCGUUGACCGGGUCAUGAUCUGUGCUACAUGGCUGCGUUGUUGGUUUCUCUACUCCUACAUUAGAUUCCUCUAGACUUAUGCAAAGCUACUUUAAUCAUUACCAUGAUUUGAAGCAAGCCCCCGCGGGCUGGAUCAACCGGUUAAGGCGUGGCAUCCUUGCACAAUAAGUCGUAGGGUCGAAGGUCCACGGACGCGCACUGGAUGAAUAAUCUAGACCGGCUAUGUUAAAUUCCGGAGACACCACGCUUUACCCGAGCCACCAUUCACCGCUGAUUUACCUCCUCCUAGGAUUCCUGUGGGGCCAAGCCUAGGGGGCCGCUGGGCGGCGGGACCUGCCUUUUACACAAUGAUUUGAAGCAAGCAGUAGACAUCACAAACUACAAAUAAGUUCUUGAGUUUUGCACAGUAAUAGCUAAUUAACUGUUAACUAAUGCAUAAUUAGAGAUGGCUGAUGCAAGGAGUCGAUGUAACUAAGAGAAGUUGUGGCUUCUCAGAUACAGUGAAUAGGUAGAUAGCAGCACCAGCAAGACCAGAAUGAUAGCAGCGAUCAGAGAGAUGCUGACUGAACUGCCGAUGCUAGUGCAGAACUUGUCGAAUUGAUUGCAUACUUUCAUCCAGAGAACGUGGGAGUUGCCCCUCAAAGCAAUGUAGGCAAUGGAUGCCACUGCUCCAGUAGCUGAGGCCAUGAUUCCACCCAUGAGCUACAAAGAAAUAGGCGAGUAUGAAUUAUAUUGAGAUAGAGAGGGUGGUACUGCAUCCAUGGCGGCGAAGAAGAGGAGCAACUUUGUAGGUUGAUAUGGUUUGGUCAUGGAGGAAGCAGAGAGGAUCAAAGUGAGCACACUAUAUAAGCAA